ACCAGACUCCUACGGGAGGCAGCAGUGAGGAAUAUUGGUCAAUGGGCGCGAGCCUGAACCAGCCAAGUCGCGUGAGGGAGGACGGCCCUACGGGUUGUAAACCUCUUUUGCCGGGGAGUAACGGGCGUCACGUGUGGCGCCACUGAGAGUACCCGGAGAAAAAGCAUCGGCUAACUCCGUGCCAGCAGCCGCGGUAAUACGGAGGAUGCGAGCGUUAUCCGGAUUUAUUGGGUUUAAAGGGUGCGUAGGCGGAUCGUUAAGUAGGUGGUAAAUUUGGGGGGCUCAACCUCGUUCCGCCGUUGAAACUGUUGAUCUUGAGUAUCGGAGAGGCAGGCGGAAUUCCUAGUGUAGCGGUGAAAUGCGUAGAUAUUAGGAGGAACACCAGUGGCGAAGGCGGCCUGCUGGACGACAACUGACGGUGAGGCGCGAAAGCGUGGGGAGCAAACAGGAUUAGAUACCCCGGUA
Molecule: ribosomal RNA, 465 nt
Filed under: uncultured bacterium
Lineage: Bacteria
Description: bacterial SSU rRNA
Rfam family: Bacterial small subunit ribosomal RNA
Source: RNAcentral